UAAAUGUUUCAUGAUAAUGGGUUAGGUAAAUGUUUCAUGAUAAGAAUUUCAUGUCUUUUGUAUUAAAGAAUUAAAUGUAUGAAAUAUGAAGUUUUAUUAAAAGAAAAAGGGGUGAAAAGAACAAAGUUUUGUCCAUCUUUGUUCAUCAUAGCUGAAAGUUAGAGAAGAGAAAUGAGAGGAGAAAGCUCUUGAGUAUUCGGUCAUUAGGAGGAGGAAAAUUGAAGGUAAGUUCUUGGUACCUUGCUUCUAUUUUGAGGUUCAUGAGUUCUUCUUGAUUCUACCUUAACUCUUGAAGUAUAUUUUGAUUUUUAGUUGUGUUGUGAGCAUUUGGUCAUGAAUUAAAAUGAAGGAAAUGGUUGUUGUUUCAUGUUCUUUUGAUGAAAAAUGGAAGAUAUGUGAAGUUGAGCCAAACAAAUGAGCAUGCAUGUGCCUUAGAUGCUAAAGGGAAAAAUCAGCUAACAUGUUGUGCUUUAAAAUGAUGAAAUGGAGAUUAUGCUUAAGUAAAAAUCAUAGAUAUGUGAUGAUUGAUUGGUGAUAUACAUGUUUAAAUAACAUGCAUGCAAGAUAGGUGUAUGAAAGAGUGAUUUGGUAAUAAAUCUGAUUGGGACAGCAGCAGUAACGUGACUUUGGAAAAUCACCAUAAAUUGUGGGAGAUGAAUUAGAAGCUGAAUAAAUUAUGUAAUUAAAGCUUAAUGAGUCUAGUUUCAAAUGGAAUAAACUAGAACAUAUUUUGAAUUCUGUAGAAUGAGAAAUUUUAUUCAUAAUGAAGAGUGGUCAGAUUAGUCAAACAGUGAAACAUGGGAAACUUUUAGAAAAAUCUGGUAUUGAUUGGCUAAACCAAAAAUUCUUAAAAUUUUAUGGAUAUAAGAUAUAUGAGUCUAUUUUCAGGUAAAAUUAACGGCACUUGAUUUGGAGUUUCGUAGCUCCAGUUAUAAAUGAUUUAGUGACUGUUGCUCAGGAAGACAGCUUGCAGUGAAAUUAUGAUUAUGUGGUAAACAUUGACAAAAAUUUGUUAAUGAGUUGCUUAUUGAUUUCUUAUAAGCUUACUAUGAUCUGUAGGUGUGGUUGGCCGAAUAUUGUAAGGGGUUAAUACGUAGUUUGUAUUUGAAUAGUUAGAUUAACGUGUUAGUAAUCCAAUUGUAGGCGGUUCGUGUGUGGAUCUCGUCAGCAUAUCGUCGCAAACAGGUGUGUAACUAACACCCUCUUUCUUAGUCUGGAUCGGCAAAAGUCGAAAAGCCGAAAUGCCGAAAACCGGUAUUUUGUAGAUUUGCGAGUGUGCGAAUGCUCGUGAGGUAAAUCGAUUAAUGUUUUUGGUAAACUGCAAAAUUUGGACUGCAAAGUGCAUGAUUUCUGUGCCCUUGAUAUUUUUGGGCUUAAUGGGCCAAAAUUGGAAUGAUGGGCCAACGGGCCCAAUUCGGUAAGAACCCUCGGUACGUGAUUCUGUUAGUACAUGAAAAGUAGGACUAUGCAUGAAAAACCCUAAAAUAGAUAAAUUACUGAAAUACCUUUAAAAGUAGAAAAUUUACAGUUUUACCCCUAGUAGAUAAAUUACCGAAAUACCCUAGGGUUAAAUUGACCUAAAUGCAUGUUUGAUUGUUGUUAUUUACUGCAUGCCAUGUUGUUAUUAUCCGAUGCAUGGGACUGGGAUAUUGACGGAGGAAGUACUGAAAGUGGCUUGUCCACGUACUGGAGGCUUUGCCUCAAUUUACUGUUAAUUGAGCAGCAAGGCUGCAACUGUGGAGUGUUGGGCUGGGUGGGUUGAGCUAUUCCCCACAUGGAGUGUAUGGCUGGUACGGGUGGAGUGUAGUGGUUGGUGGGUUGAGUAGUCUCCCCAAAUGGGCUUGCAUAUGUUUACUGAUGUUGCAUGUAUUUUGAAAUGGGCCUAUGGGCCAUACUGUUAUCUGAAUAAGAGGCUAAGGCCCAGUUUAUUGUAAUCUGAAAAGGGCUCUGGCCCAGUACCACUGUUACCCAAAUGGGCUUGCAUAUGUUUACUGAUGUUGCAUGUAUUUUGAAAUGGGCCUAUGGGCCAUACUGUUAUCUGAAUAAGGGGCUAAGGCCCAGUUUAUUGUAAUCUGAAAAGGGCUCUGGCCCAAUACCACUGUUACCUGAAUGGGCUUAGGCCCAAUGGGCUUGAGCUGACUUGGGCUUUGAAUGGGUUUUCCUUACACACUGAGUUUCCCCAAACUCACCCCUUUUAUUUUCAUCCACGCAGGAAAUCCCCAACCAUAGUGGGCUUGGAGCUGUGAGAGAAUUCGGAGUGGCCACCCGUUCUGAAAGUUUAAUUUUCUUCUAGUGAACUGGACAUCCUUUUAAUUACGUUUGAGGUUUUGGGCUUUUAAAUGUAAUAAGGCCGCUUAUUUAUUUUUGAUGGUUUUUAUAUGUUUUAUUAAGAUAUGUAAUAUUUAUAUUUAACUGUUGAAAUUGGAUAGCUUUAACGCGCGUUUUCAAAAACAGUAAUUGUUUUCAAAAUAACACGAAAAUAAGCAAAGCUUCCGC
Molecule: long non-coding RNA, 2496 nt
Filed under: Gossypium barbadense (sea-island cotton)
Lineage: Eukaryota; Viridiplantae; Streptophyta; Magnoliopsida; Malvales; Malvaceae
Description: long non-coding RNA (GBAR_LNC002864)
Source: RNAcentral